AGCAGAACAGAAGGUGGUCUGACAAAGAAGCGUAUUCGUCACUCCACCAUUGCGGCCGUUACCAUCACCGCCUCCCCACCCACGGAUACUUGAGCGCAUUACACAAGCUCAGCGCACCCUCUCUCUCUCUCUCGACACACACUGACACACACACACACACACACAUUCUUCUUCGGUUCACCUACUAUCCGGCGCGCUCGUGCGUGCAGCCCUGUGCCGGCUUCCGCUUUCCUGUGCUUAUUCUUUCGAGGACGCAGGGUGGCGUGUUUUCGCUACCCUUUUCGCUUCUCUCAAUCCUUUUAAUCCGUCUUCGCCCUUCCACCACUCCUGCGUAUCUCGCUGUUCCCUCCCGCAAGGGCCACCAACACCACCACCACCAUCAUCAUCCCCGCAUUUUUCUCGGCGUCGUCCGUGGCACCAGUGCUCCCUUUUCCCCUCCUCCGUCCCCUCCCCCCGCUCCCCACUCCUUCCCGUUGCUUCCCUCUCACAAGUCUGCAUGUGAGCUUGUGUGUGUAUGUGUGUGUGAGGGCGAAGAGGGUCGGGCGAAGCUUUUCGCGCGCUUUCAUGUGUCGUCCCUGCUCGCCCCACAUGCACACCGCCCAGCCACCUCUCCCUUCUCUCUCCUGUGUUUUCUCGGUUUCAUUUAUUACGGGCUGCUGCUGCUCGCGUGGAGGUCAGCGGGAAAGCCAUUGAUCGAGCUCUUCCCCUUCCCUCCCUCACACCUCCUCCCACAUACACCGACACGGACACCUUGCCCUGUGUUCGAGCGCACGCAUCUCGGCUCUGUUGGUAGGUCUCCCAUCGCCUCCACCAGAGCCUGUUGGUUGCUCGCUGUGAACCGUCUCGCUUCUUCUUUUUCCCCUUUCGUCGUCGUCGUGCCUGCCUUCAACGACUCGCUCACACGCACUCCUGCAUCCAUUAUUCUUCCUCGUUUUUCUUACGUGUGUUUGUGUGUGCGUGCGAGUGCUCCUUCCUCGCUGGCAUCUCCAUCGCCACACGAAGGUUCAUCCUCUGAUCUUCCACCACGGACGUCUCCGAUCAGCGCGUCCUGCUAUAUUGCCGUUCUCGUGCGCUCGCUGCGGCUGGCGUCCCUCUCUGUCUCUAUCCCCCUCCUCCACCUGCAUGCGUGUGUUGUCCCUUUCACUGGCGUGGUGAACUCGGAGUGGCGCACGCGGCGACCGAAGCGAACACGCACACACGGGCAGAGGCAGACGUGUGUGUGUGUGCGUGUCUGUACAUAGCAUUCCUUCAGAAACAGUCAUCGCUGCCCGAACACCUACACAGACGUACGCACGCACACACAGCGCGUGCGCUCGCCAACCCCAAAACGUCUCUUUUCUUGGGGGAGAGGGGGAGGGGCGAAACCCGUUGCGGCAUCAUCCGGGGAGUAGACGGGAACGGAGGUAGCUGGUGCGCAGCUAUGGGCAACGAUUUGUCGACCAUGUCGGGUGGGGGCCGCAACCUUGAGGUCUGGGGUGAAGCGCGCGCCAGACGCGUCUCGAACGAGCUGCCGACCCCGCGCACCAUCCCUCUCGGUCAUGGGGACAAUCUCGUGCCACCGGCGCUGCUCCUGGACGCUGAGAUGCGCUCAGCCGCAGACGAAGCAAGUAGCACCUCCUCGUUGCGGUCUGCCGGCACGGUGUCGACCUACUCCACUCAGCACUCGGCACUUUCAAAGGCAAACCGAAGCCCGGAUCCACAGCCCCGGAGGCGUAGCAUGUCGAUGAGUGAUAUGACCGCUGCGACAGCCUUGCUGGCAGCCGCGGCGCCGUCACAGCAGCAGCAGCAGCAGCAGCAGCAGCGACAGCUGCAGAGGCGCGCGCAGUACUCCAUGUACGCUCGGCAGAUGCGGCGACCCGGCUGUGACGGGGGCCGGUACGGGUUGCAGCAUCACAACAGCGGCGUUGACUUCAUGGUCGCCAACGAGUUUUUCAACUGCAGCGACAGCACCCUUGGCAGCGAGGCGGAUCUCGAUAGCAGCAGUGGCAUCGGAAGCAGCGGUAGCGAUGGUAAUGAUGACGCAGGAGGGGUGCACCACCGUUGUGGCAUGGCACCAAGGGAGCCCACCUUGCCGUACGGUUCCGGCCGCCGCCUGACCGGCAAUGAGCUCUCCGCGCGUUCCCCGCGGCGUGGACGAAACGAGGUGGAUGGAGCGCCGGCCCUCGGCUCGACUGCUACGGCCGCUGCCGCCGCCUCUGCUACGUCGCCAGCGCACGCGAAGUCGAGCAGCACAGGCAGGGCAGAGACGAUAACGACGAAGGCCGUCUCCGUGGUAGUCUCCGGCGUCGACUGCAGCAGUGAUCCCCCUCCAGCUCUCACCAGCAGCCGCAACAGCAGCAACGGCAGUCACGACAGCAAGUCCUCGGCUGCGAGUGGGAAGAAAGGCGGUGUCACACCUUUGCCGUCGGCGAGGCAGGGCAAUUGGCACAAGCGGCUCUUGCGGCCCGUCUCACGAGGCAGCAUUCGUGAUGACGGCAUCAGCGGCAGCGCCACGCAGUGGGGCUCGCCUGACGCCGCCGAUGGUGCUCUCAGCUCGCACGAGGAAAAGAAGUGCAAGACGGGCAAGAGAAAGACGAGCAAGCCGAGAAUCCACCCGGAGGGACUCUUGGAGCUGAAGUUUCCGCAUCGCACGCGCAGCUCAGCAACAGCGCCGCGAACGUCGUCCGCGGCAGCCGGAACCGCGACCACCACGAUCGGUGUAGAGGCGCUGGUGUCGAGGAUGAAGCUGUCCACCACGAAGGAGUCGCCGAGCGUCGACGCAAAGCAGCGGCACACCAGUGGCGACCUCAGCGGCAGCACCGCGCCGGCUCUGUCGAAUGAGAAGCGUGGCGGCCAGUGCGACUCUUUCACGUGCGUGUCGUCCUCGCCAGCGCAGCAGCAUCACGCCGCCGGCAAGGAUGGCAGAGGUAAACCCGGCGCGAACCGCAGCAGCGACCCGCCUCGCUCGUCGGAGUCCCCGGCGCAUCAUCACAGCCGUCAAGUGCAACAUCAUCACUGCGGUGGAGACGAUGGAAGCAAUGCCGUUCCAGAGACGGUGUUGGCCAGCCUUGUAGAUUCAAAGUCGCACCAUCGCCAACCCAGACGCAACCGCAGCCUCGGUGGCAAGCUCGACCUGCACGACGAGAGCCCCAACGACUUCUUCGCUUCGACGCAGCGGAGCGGGCAGUACCGGAUGCUUUACCGAAUGGACAGCGAAAGCGGGAGCUCAACCGCCUCCAUGCGCGAGGCAGUGUGCAUGGCUACCGGCGGCGGCGCGGCGGCGGCGCACUCCUUUGGCAGCCUCUUCGCCGACUCGCGGGCCGCUUCGCUAUACUCGGUGUCGUCGUCGCCCGGGCAAGCGUGGACAGGUGACUACGCUGGCCGCGGAGUGAUGCAACUAACAGCCGCGGUGGAUCACCGCGCGCUGGACAUGCAGAAAGUCGACGACGUCGGGGGCACGAGUGAGGCCAGCCGGCAUCACCCUAGUCGUGGACUGCUCUGCAGCGGAAGCUGCACGGCCUGUGUGAAUAGCACAGGCACCUUUAACGCGACCUCGCAACCGCAGCAGGCGGAUCUGCAGCGCAAAAUAGAGAUGCACCUCCAGCGGAUGACCUACACGUCGAAGUCGCCCAGCCUCGUCACCAGCAACCAAGUCGUCUCUGUGAGGCCAGAGAAUAGCCAAGGUACCCGACACUCGCUGAUAUCUACGUUGCCGAUGCCUCUGAACGUCGGCGCCGCUGAAGCGCCUGCCAACCGCGGGCAGGUCGGCGCCGCCGCAGUGAUGCGUGAAGCGCUGUCGGCCGGUGCGUCAUGCCGUGACGGCCACGGCCACGUCCACACCGCCGCUAGCGUGAGCAUAUGCAGCAACGGUAGCGGCAGCUCUAGCUUCGGCUCGAGCAGCAGCGGGGAUCGCAGUAUCAGCCCUGACGUAAGUGUCAGAGAGCUCGUGAAGUCGUCUCGGGUGAAGCCGCCAGCCAAGGCAGAGUCGCCGCCGCUCCUGCCACAGCCACCCCCGCCACAGACGGCGGUGAUGCGGACCAAGACACAUAGCUUCCGAGGACACGGUGGCAGACGUGGACCCACGAACCUGUCCGCCACCGAAGGCUUGGCGGCGUCCGCGGUGUCGCCGAAGAGGCACAGCAGCUGCGCUGGCCGGCGGCAUCAUCACGGCAACGGUAGCAGCAACAGUGGCGACGCUCUGCACGCAACGGCGAGUGUCCUCACCUCGGUACAAGGCAGCUGCAGCGCGUUGCGGCCGACGCGGGCAGACAGCAAGGACCUCAUUCUCCGGCCCGACCGCACUGCCUCUGCACGCCGUCACCGCCGCGGUGGUGGCGAUGAGAACGCGCCGGAAGGCAGUGGCAGCCGUCAGCGGCACCCGCAGAACCGAAAACUUUCUUCCAGGACGCAUUUUACCUCUUUCAGCUUUAGUAGUGACAGCUUCCUAUACGGCAAGGUGCGUGGCCAUCUGGCGAAGGCGGCGGCAGUGGCUGCAAACUCGAGCAGCAUCGAGCGUCGGCGUCACGCGUCGGGCUGUGAAAGCAGCGGAGGCACGCAGGCACACGCGCGUCACCACGCUCACGGUGAAGUCGACUCGGUUGCGCUGGGGGCCUCCCCAUUCGCAUCAUCGCGCAAGGGCGAGGCCGAGUGUCGCCAUCGCGGCAGCGGGUGCGGCAAUGAGAGUGGGAUGGGCAGCGUGGUGGCUGACUUGGACGACCUCCUCCUCGGCGCCGAUGGCAGGGCCCCCUCUGGCAACCUGACGGCGCUCUACCCGCGCUCCGCCUCAUCAUCGUUGUCGCUGGCGCCAUCGUCCCGAAACAGCAGCACCAACGGCAGCUGCGUCAGCAGCGGCUCCGUGCGUGCGCUGCGCAAGAGGGCUGCGAGAGCGCGGGACCUGUCGGCCAGCUCGUCAGUCGACUCCGAGGCAAGCGGCCGCCUUCAUCCACAUUGGACAGCACCGCCGCUGCCCCAGCAGCAGCAGUAUGGAGCAGCUGGUGCGACGGCAACGGCGUCGUCAAUGUACCGACUGCCCCUCGUGAAGACGUCGAACAGCUGCGGUGGAGCUGUGGCCGCUAACGGAAGCGCGAGCAGCGCCGUGACCGGUGGAACGCGCGGCAUGAAGCUGCCAUCCUUUAAGCCGAACAUGGGCGUGGGCAUUAGCAACAGCCCUGACACGAGCAGCGGCCGCCCUGUGAACAUCAACUACGUUCUUCAGCCGCUGCGAAGCCCGGCGGCGAACGGCUCGGCAACGAUGGCAGCAGCGUCACCAGAGAUCCACAGCGUAGCCAAGAGCCACAGCACAUCCUCUGGCAGUGGCGUUGCCGCAGACACGUCGGGUGCGAUGCCGACGGUCCAUGGGCACGAAAAGGCGUCCUGGCAGCCCUCCAUGGUGCCCAAAGUGCCUUGCGCCCUCUUCAAUGGCAGUGGCAGCGGUGCGCACCUGCCACGAAUGCCGCCAGCAAGUUCGCCUCGACACGCCAGCAGCAAGAGAGACGGUGACACCGACUCCUUGACGGUGUCGUUCCCGGACGCCAACGGCCGUGGCGACGGUGGUAGUGGCGCUGCUGCGUCGUCCUCCGCGGCGUCGCUGUUGGCAGGGCCAUCCCGUGACUCGAGCGCGAAGCGACGUCGCCCCACGACGCAGAGUUUCACGCCGUGGUCUGUGGAUAUGAGUCGCUUCAAGGCGCUGCAAGAGGCGCAGGAGCCGCCGAGUUAGCGAGCGGCCUACACGCUGCUGCAAGCGGGGGUGGGGGUGAGGCUCACACGUAGGCGCCCUUUGCAGCCGUCACCGCGUUGCGGGUGUUUGAUUGGCUGCGUGAUGAGAGGAAAAGCCCCCGGGAAGCGGUGCUCGGACAUACACAAGCAACCACGCAUAUAUAUAUAUAUAUAUGUGUGUGUGUAUGUAUGUUUAUGUGCAUGUGUAUACAUAUAUGUGUAUAUGUGUUUGUGUCGUUCAUUUCCUUGUUGUCGUAGUCAUUGUCGCUGUAGCUCGUCUUCUUUUGGCCAUGCACUGUCAUCUGGAUUCCAUGGUCGGUGUGCGUGUUGCCGCUACAACGGAUGUGGGUGCCUGUGUAUCUCUGUAUACUGCAAUCCGCCACCGCCACCACCCUUUACAUGUACGUCGAUGAUGGACUGUGCCUGCGUGAAUGCGUCUAAAUCAAGAACGACGAUGUAGAGGAGCAUGCCGAUUCCAUCAACGGACCUCGCUCCCUCUCUCUCUUGUACGGGCCCCACCCACAGAUGCACACACACACACACACACACACACACACACACACGUGCGGGUGCACUCGUGUUCGCAGGCAUCAUUCAUACACUUUUCGUGUGUGUGUGUGUGUGUGCGCGCGCGCUUCAACCGUUUCUCAUGGAGCACAGAACCAAAAUGAAGAUUUGAGCGACACCAAAGGACGACGGCGACGCCGAUGUGUGUGGGGAGGGUGCAGGUCAGCCGGAGGAUGCGGUGUGUUGCGGCUCUUGUUGGGUUCCUUGUGGUAUGGGGGUGCGAGAGAGAGAGAGAGGGGGGGAUGUGGCAACGUGCCGCCGUUCAUCAUCGCUGCUGGUGCUGCUGUUCCGCACGACGCGGCAUGACAUGUGGGCACAUGUGGCCUGUUACUCUGUGAAAUGAAGUGUGCGUGAGCACCUACAAG
This 6626-nucleotide unclassified non-coding RNA is filed under the name Leishmania donovani. RNAcentral's name for it is "gene:LdHU3.05.0930(CDS-product:hypothetical_prote in_conserved)". The record is from RNAcentral. Lineage: Eukaryota; Euglenozoa; Kinetoplastea; Trypanosomatida; Trypanosomatidae.